CAGUCGCCACGGUAAUACGGAGGGAGCUAGCGUUGUUCGGAAUUACUGGGCGUAAAGCGCGCGUAGGCGGUUACUCAAGUCAGAGGUGAAAGCCCGGGGCUCAACCCCGGAACUGCCUUUGAAACUAGGUGACUAGAAUCUUGGAGAGGUCAGUGGAAUUCCGAGUGUAGAGGUGAAAUUCGUAGAUAUUCGGAAGAACACCAGUGGCGAAGGCGACUGACUGGACAAGUAUUGACGCUGAGGUGCGAAAGCGUGGGGAGCAAACAGGAUUAGAGACCCCCGUAGUCCCUGUCUCUUAUAA
This 301-nucleotide ribosomal RNA is filed under the name uncultured bacterium. RNAcentral's name for it is "partial 16S ribosomal RNA". It matches the Rfam family "Bacterial small subunit ribosomal RNA", at positions 509 to 809 of the family's 1533-position model. The record is from RNAcentral.